GCCCAGGUGGUGAAAUGGUAUACACGUACGAUUGAGGUUCGUAUGGCGCAAGCUGUGGAGGUUCAAGUCCUCUCCUGGGCA
This 81-nucleotide transfer RNA is filed under the name Minisyncoccota bacterium. RNAcentral describes it as "tRNA-Leu". It matches the Rfam family "tRNA". From Rfam's summary of the family: Transfer RNA (tRNA) molecules are approximately 80 nucleotides in length. Their secondary structure includes four short double-helical elements and three loops (D, anti-codon, and T loops). Further hydrogen bonds mediate the characteristic L-shaped molecular structure. tRNAs have two regions of fundamental functional importance: the anti-codon, which is responsible for specific mRNA codon recognition, and the 3' end, to which the tRNAs corresponding amino acid is attached (by aminoacyl-tRNA synthetases). tRNAs cope with the degeneracy of the genetic code in two manners: having more than one tRNA (with a specific anti-codon) for a particular amino acid; and 'wobble' base-pairing, i.e. permitting non-standard base-pairing at the 3rd anti-codon position. The record is from RNAcentral. Lineage: Bacteria; Bacillati; Minisyncoccota.